AGUGAACGCUGGCGGUAGGCCUAACACAUGCAAGUCGAACGGCAGCACAGUAAGAGCUUGCUCUUACGGGUGGCGAGUGGCGGACGGGUGAGGAAUACAUCGGAAUCUACUUUUUCGUGGGGGAUAACGUAGGGAAACUUACGCUAAUACCGCAUACGACCUACGGGUGAAAGCAGGGGACCUUCGGACCUUGCGCGAUUGAAUGAGCCGAUGUCGGAUUAGCUAGUUGGCGGGGUAAAGGCCCACCAAGGCGACGAUCCGUAGCUGGUCUGAGAGGAUGAUCAGCCACACUGGAACUGAGACACGGUCCAGACUCCUACGGGAGGCAGCAGUGGGGAAUAUUGGACAAUGGGCGCAAGCCUGAUCCAGCCAUACCGCGUGGGUGAAGAAGGCCUUCGGGUUGUAAAGCCCUUUUGUUGGGAAAGAAAAGCAGCAGGUUAAUACCCCGCUGUUCUGACGGUACCCAAAGAAUAGGCACCGGCUAACUUCGUG
Molecule: ribosomal RNA, 492 nt
Filed under: uncultured bacterium
Lineage: Bacteria
Description: partial 16S ribosomal RNA
Rfam family: Bacterial small subunit ribosomal RNA
Source: RNAcentral